AUGAACGCUGGCGGCGUGCCUAAUACAUGCAAGUCGAGCGAACGGACGAGAAGCUUGCUUCUCUGAUGUUAGCGGCGGACGGGUGAGUAACACGUGGAUAACCUACCUAUAAGACUGGGAUAACUUCGGGAAACCGUAGCUAAUACCGGAUAAUAUUUUGAACCGCAUGGUUCAAAAGUGAAAGACGGUCUUGCUGUCACUUAUAGAUGGAUCCGCGCUGCAUUAGCUAGUUGGUAAGGUAACGGCUUACCAAGGCAACGAUGCAUAGCCGACCUGAGAGGGUGAACGGCCACACUGGAACUGAGACACGGUCCAGACUCCUACGGGAGGCAGCAGUAGGGAAUCUUCCGCAAUGGGCGAAAGCCUGACGGAGCAACGCCGCGUGAGUGAUGAAGGUCUUCGGAUCGUAAAACUCUGUUAUUAGGGAAGAACAUAUGUGUAAGUAACUGUGCACAUCUUGACGGUACCUAAUCAGAAAGCCACGGCUAACUACGUG
Molecule: ribosomal RNA, 496 nt
Filed under: uncultured bacterium
Lineage: Bacteria
Description: partial 16S ribosomal RNA
Rfam family: Bacterial small subunit ribosomal RNA
Source: RNAcentral